CUACGGGUUGCAGCAGUGGGGAAUAUUGCACAAUGGGCGCAAGCCUGAUGCAGCCAUGCCGCGUGUAUGAAGAAGGCCUUCGGGUUGUAAAGUACUUUCAGCGGGGAGGAAGGGAGUAAAGUUAAUACCUUUGCUCAUUGACGUUACCCGCAGAAGAAGCACCGGCUAACUCCGUGCCAGCAGCCGCGGUAAUACGGAGGGUGCAAGCGUUAAUCGGAAUUACUGGGCGUAAAGCGCACGCAGGCGGUUUGUUAAGUCAGAUGUGAAAUCCCCGGGCUCAACCUGGGAACUGCAUCUGAUACUGGCAAGCUUGAGUCUCGUAGAGGGGGGUAGAAUUCCAGGUGUAGCGGUGAUAUGCGUAGAGAUUUGGAGGAAUACCGGUGGCGAAGGCGGCCCCCUGGACGAAGACUGACGCUCAGGUGCGAAAGCGUGGGGAGCAAACAGGAUUAGAUACCCGCGUAGUC
This 464-nucleotide ribosomal RNA is filed under the name uncultured bacterium. Its description in RNAcentral is "partial 16S ribosomal RNA". It matches the Rfam family "Bacterial small subunit ribosomal RNA", at positions 339 to 795 of the family's 1533-position model. The record is from RNAcentral.